AUUGAACGCUGGCGGCAUGCCUUACACAUGCAAGUCGAACGGUAACACGUCUUCGGAUGCUGACGAGUGUCGCACGGGUGUGUAUUACAUCUGAACGUGCCCCGACUUGUGGGUUAACGAGUCGAAAGCUUUGCUAAUACCCCAUACGAUCUAAGUAUGUAAGCAGGGGACCCCAAGGCCUUUCGCGUUUUUAGCGGCCGCUGUCUGAUUAGGUAGUUGGUGGGGUAAAAGCUUACCAAGCCGACGAUCUGUAGCUGGUCUGAGAGGACGACCAGCAACACUGGGACUGAGACACGGCCCAGACUCCUACGGGAGGCAGCAGUGGGGAAUUUUGGACAAUGGGCGAAAGCCUGAUCCAGCAAUGCCGCGUGCAGGAAGAAGGCCUUCGGGUUGUAAACUGCUUUUGUACGGAAAGAAAAGGAUCUGGCUAAUACCUGGGGGAGAUGACGGUACCGGAAGAAUAAGCACCGGCUAACUACGUG
This 482-nucleotide ribosomal RNA is filed under the name uncultured bacterium. Its description in RNAcentral is "partial 16S ribosomal RNA". It matches the Rfam family "Bacterial small subunit ribosomal RNA", at positions 30 to 507 of the family's 1533-position model. The record is from RNAcentral.